Molecule: ribosomal RNA, 277 nt
Filed under: Theileria annulata
Lineage: Eukaryota; Apicomplexa; Aconoidasida; Piroplasmida; Theileriidae
Description: partial small subunit ribosomal RNA
Rfam family: Eukaryotic small subunit ribosomal RNA
Source: RNAcentral
AUACGGGGCUUAAGUCUUGUAAUUGGAAUGAUGGGAAUUUAAACCUCUUCCAGAGUAUCAAUUGGAGGGCAAGUCUGGUGCCAGCAGCCGCGGUAAUUCCAGCUCCAAUAGCGUAUAUUAAAAUUGUUGCAGUUAAAAAGCUCGUAGUUGAAUUUCUGCUGCAUUGCUUGUGUCCCUCUGGGGUCUGUGCAUGUGGCUUUUUUCGGACGGAGUUUCUUUGUCUGAAUGUUUACUUUGAGAAAAUUAGAGUGCUCAAAGCAGGCUUUCGCCUUGAAUA